This 431-nucleotide ribosomal RNA is filed under the name uncultured bacterium. RNAcentral's name for it is "bacterial SSU rRNA". It matches the Rfam family "Bacterial small subunit ribosomal RNA", at positions 28 to 451 of the family's 1533-position model. The record is from RNAcentral.
GAUGAACGCUAGCGACAGGCCUAACACAUGCAAGUCGAGGGGCAUCACGGGAGUAGCAAUACAACUGGUGGCGACCGGCGCACGGGUGAGUAACACGUAUGCAACCUACCUGUAAGAGGGGAAUAACCCGGAGAAAUUCGGACUAACACCGCAUAAUACUGUUGAACUGCAUGGUUUAACAGUUAAAUAUUUAUAGCUUACAGAUGGGCAUGCGUAUGAUUAGCUAGUUGGUGAGGUAACGGCUCACCAAGGCAACGAUCAUUAGGGGUUCUGAGAGGAAGGUCCCCCACACUGGUACUGAGAUACGGACCAGACUCCUACGGGAGGCAGCAGUGAGGAAUAUUGGUCAAUGGGCGAGAGCCUGAACCAGCCAAGUCGCGUGAAGGAAGAAGGUUCUAUGGAUUGUAAACUUCUUUUGUAAGGGAAUAAAA